GUCUUCCAAAUAAAACUUUUUUAAAAACAAAAAAAAUUAAUUGCUAUGAAUUGUUUUUCCUUCACAGAUAAAAAUAUUAAAGAUGAAAUUUCACAGCUGAAGAGUAAAGAUGAAAAUAUUGAAGAUGGAAUUUCACAGCUGAAGAGUAAAGAUGAAAAUAUUAAAGAUGAAAUUUCACAGCUGAAGAGUAAAGGUAA
Long non-coding RNA from Rana temporaria (common frog), 197 nucleotides. RefSeq lists it as uncharacterized. Lineage: Eukaryota; Metazoa; Chordata; Amphibia; Anura; Ranidae. The record is from RefSeq and is a predicted model, not a curated record. The transcript is spliced from 3 exons.